UCUAGAGUNUCGGAGAGGAAAGUGGAAUUCCUAGUGUAGCGGUGAAAUGCGUAGAUAUUAGGAAGAACACCAGUGGCGAAGGCGACUUUCUGGACGAAAACUGACGCUGAGGCGCGAAAGCCAGGGGAGCGAACGGGAUUAGAUACCCCGGUAGUCCUGGCCGUAAACGAUGGGUACUAGGUGUAGGAGGUAUCGACCCCUUCUGUGCCGGAGUUAACGCAAUAAGUACCCCGCCUGGGGAGUACGACCGCAAGGUUGAAACUCAAAGGAAUUGACGGGGGCCCGCACAAGCGGUGGAGUAUGUGGUUUAAUUCGACGCAACGCGAAGAACCUUACCAGGUCUUGACAUUGAUGGACAGAACUAGAGAUAGUUCCUCUUCUUCGGAAGCCAGAAAACAGGUGGUGCACGGUUGUCGUCAGCUCGUGUCGUGAGAUGUUGGGUUAAGUCCCGCAACGAGCGCGACCCCUAUCUUAUGUUGCCAGCACUUUGGGUGGGGACUCAUGAGAGACUGCCGCAGACAAUGCGGAGGAAGGCGGGGAUGACGUCAAAUCAUCAUGCCCCUUAUGACCUGGGCUACACACGUACUACAAUGGGAGUUAAUAGACGGAAGCGAGAUCGCGAGAUGGAGCAAACCCGAGAAACACUCUCUCAGUUCGGAUCGUAGGCUGCAACUCGCCUACGUGAAGUCGGAAUCGCUAGUAAUCGCAGGUCAGCAUACUGCGGUGAAUACGUUCCCGGGCCUUGUACACACC
This 753-nucleotide ribosomal RNA is filed under the name uncultured bacterium. RNAcentral's name for it is "bacterial SSU rRNA". It matches the Rfam family "Bacterial small subunit ribosomal RNA", at positions 640 to 1391 of the family's 1533-position model. The record is from RNAcentral.